This 29-nucleotide non-coding RNA is filed under the name Rattus norvegicus (Norway rat). The record is from RNAcentral. Lineage: Eukaryota; Metazoa; Chordata; Mammalia; Rodentia; Muridae.
UCUUAAGAUGGCUGCUCUUGGCUCCCAGG